GGGCGGUUAGCUCAGUUGGUUAGAGUACCUGUUUGACAUACAGGAGGCCAGUGGUUCAAGUCCACUACCGCCCACCA
This 77-nucleotide transfer RNA is filed under the name subsurface metagenome. RNAcentral describes it as "tRNA-Val". It matches the Rfam family "tRNA". Rfam says of the family: Transfer RNA (tRNA) molecules are approximately 80 nucleotides in length. The record is from RNAcentral.